ACCAGACUCCUACGGGAGGCAGCAGUGGGGGAUAUUGGACAAUGGGGGGAACCCUGAUCCAGCGAUGCCGCGUGAGGGAAGAAGGUUUUCGGAUUGUAAACCUCUGUGGACAGGGACGAUAAUGACGGUACCUGUCAAGAAAGCCACGGCUAACUACGUGCCAGCAGCCGCGGUAAUACGUAGGGAGCAAGCGUUAUCCGGAAUUAUUGGGUGUAAAGGGUGCGUAGACGGGAUAACAAGUUGGUUGUGAAACCCCUCGGCUCAACUGAGGAACUGCAACCAAAACUAUUAUUCUUGAGUGCAGGAGAGGAAAGUGGAAUUCCUAGUGUAGCGGUGAAAUGCGUAGAUAUUAGGAGGAACACCAGUGGCGAAGGCGGCUUACUGGACUGUAACUGACACUGAGGCACGAAAGCGUGGGGAGCAAACAGGAUUGGAUACCCUGGUAGU
Molecule: ribosomal RNA, 447 nt
Filed under: uncultured bacterium
Lineage: Bacteria
Description: bacterial SSU rRNA
Rfam family: Bacterial small subunit ribosomal RNA
Source: RNAcentral